RNAcentral lists this ribosomal RNA (379 nucleotides) under uncultured cyanobacterium. Its description in RNAcentral is "bacterial SSU rRNA". It matches the Rfam family "Bacterial small subunit ribosomal RNA", at positions 376 to 770 of the family's 1533-position model. Lineage: Bacteria; Bacillati; Cyanobacteriota. The record is from RNAcentral.
CGAAAGCCUGACGGAGCAACGCCGCGUGAGGGAUGAAGGCCUCUGGGCUGUAAACCUCUUUUCUCAAGGAAGGAGAUCUGACGGUACUUGAGGAAUAAGCCACGGCUAAUUCCGUGCCAGCAGCCGCGGUAAUACGGGAGUGGCAAGCGUUAUCCGGAAUCAUUGGGCGUAAAGCGUCCACAGGCGGCCUUGUAAGUCUGCCGUUAAAGCGUGGAGCUCAACUCCAUUUCAGCGGUGGAAACUACAAGGCUUGAGUGUGGUAGGGGCAGAGGGAAUUCCCGGUGUAGCGGUGAAAUGCGUAGAUAUCGGGAAGAACACCAGUGGCGAAGGCGCUCUGCUGGGCCAUAACUGACGCUCAUGGACGAAAGCCAGGGGAGCG